RNAcentral lists this ribosomal RNA (164 nucleotides) under uncultured bacterium. RNAcentral's name for it is "partial 16S ribosomal RNA". It matches the Rfam family "Bacterial small subunit ribosomal RNA", at positions 355 to 511 of the family's 1533-position model. The record is from RNAcentral.
UAGGGAAUCUUCCACAAUGGGCGCAAGCCUGAUGGAGCAACACCACGUGAGUGAAGAAGGGUUUCGGCUCGUAAAGCUCUGUUGUUAAAGAAGAACACGUAUGAGAGUAACUGUUCAUACGUUGACGGUAUUUAACCAGAAAGUCACGGCUAACUACGUGCCAG